ACAGGGAUUCCCCUAGUAACGGCGAGUGAAGCGGGAACAGCUCAAAUUUGAAAUCUGGCCCUCGGGUCCGAGUUGUAAUUUGUAGAGGAUGCUUUUGGUGCGGUGCCUUCCGAGUUCCCUGGAACGGGACGCCUUAGAGGGUGAGAGCCCCGUACGGUUGGACGCCUAGCCUCUGUAAAGCUCCUUCGACGAGUCGAGUAGUUUGGGAAUGCUGCUCUAAAUGGGAGGUAUAUUUCUUCUAAAGCUAAAUACUGGCCAGAGACCGAUAGCGCACAAGUAGAGUGAUCGAAAGAUGAAAAGCACUUUGAAAAGAGGGUUAAAUAGCACGUGAAAUUGUUGAAAGGGAAGCGUUUAUCACCAGACUUUUUCUAGGGGGAUCAUCCGGUGUUCUCACCGGUGCACUUCCCCUGGUUGAGGCCAGCAUCGGUUUUCGGAGGGGGAUAAAAGCUUCGGGAAUGUGACUCCCUCGGGAGUGUUAUAGCCCGUUGCAUAAUACCCUUCUGGGGACCGAGGUUCGCGCAUCUGCAAGGAUGCUGGCAUAAUGGUGAUCAACGACCCGUCUUGAAACACGGACCAAGGAGUCGAACAUUUAUGCGAGUGUUUGGGUGUCAAACCCUCACGCGUAAUGAAAGUGAACGGAGGUGAGAGCCCUUACGGGUGCAUCAUCGACCGAUCCUGAUGUCUUCGGAUGGAUUUGAGUAAGAGCAUAACUGUUCGGACCCGAAAGAUGGUGAACUAUGCGUGGAUAGGGUGAAGCCAGGAGAAAUCCUGGUGGAGGCUCGCAGCGGUUCUGACGUGCAAAUCGAUCGUCAAAUCUGCGCAUGGGGGCGAAAGACUAAUCGA
Molecule: ribosomal RNA, 843 nt
Filed under: Nigrospora sphaerica
Lineage: Eukaryota; Fungi; Ascomycota; Sordariomycetes; Amphisphaeriales; Apiosporaceae
Description: eukaryotic LSU rRNA
Rfam family: Eukaryotic large subunit ribosomal RNA
Source: RNAcentral